AAAGGUAGUGUGGGGGCAAUUAGAGGCGAGACCGGAGCUCAGAGCAGCACUGAAAACUGAAACUGUCGCUGCAACUUGACGCAUGGAGCGGAUCCACCACACGUUUCUGGACUGAAGAGACUCCCUUUUUUCUUUUUCCUUUGUGCACUGAAUAUGCUUUGCCUAAACUGGCUGCCACUUCAUGCUGCAGAGGCGUUUUAGGAUUCCUGCUUUGAUCCAGUUUAUUUUUUUUUAUGUGAAUUCAAAAACUUUUCUUAUUAGCCUGUUGUUUUUAUUGCCCUCCAGCUGCUCCAGAUCGCGUCUGGGGCCUCUAUCCAUUAGUAAGCACAAUCCAUUUCAUCAGGUUACACGCGGCAGCGGGAGCUACGUGACUGCACUCAUUCUCUGAACCGGGAGCGGAUGAGUUGGAAAUUCCCACUCAGCAAAUUUUUUUUCUCUUUUUCUGAGCAGUUUUGCACUUUUUUGUUGGAUUGUUUUAUUGUGUGCGCCGGGAGCCAUCAACCCCCUCUCUCCACUCGCAGACAUCGCGAAAUGAAACUCGGUCUUGUCAUCCAGACUGCGGUGGCGCUUCAUCUGCUGCUCUCACCUGCACAGAGUCUUCCCGUGGCAAGCAUAACCAAUACAACUGAAGUCAUCCCUGUUCCUCCCCCACAGACUGUGCAACUGGGACUCUUUCACACAUAUACUCCCACAGUGUUGAUGUUCCAAGAAGUGUGGGGUCGCAGCUUCUGCCGGACCAUUGAGAAGCUGGUGGAGGUGGUGCAGGAGUACCCGACAGAGGUGGAGCACAUCUACAGCCCCGCCUGUGUGCCACUGGUGAGGUGUGCAGGUUGCUGCGGGGACGAAAACCUGGAGUGCCAUCCCACCCAAACCACAAACGUCACCAUGCAGCUGUUGAAAAUCAGGCCAUCAGAGCCGGGUAAAGAAUAUGUUGAGAUGACGUUUGUGGAGCAUCAGACAUGUGAAUAGUCAGGAAACCUGUUGCAAAGGUUGAAAGGAAAAGGCAAAGAGGAAAAGGAAGGAAGAGAAAGGACAGACAAAAACCAAAAGAAUGUGACAGGUGCCAGAACCCUCGCAGGUAACUGCAGUGGCGGCCCAACCCCCCCGUUGCAGUGUGGCUCACUGUUUAUUUCCAACCCAGCGACAGCAUCCAGAGUCUCCUCUGCUCAUCUUUCAAUACUGUGUCUGCAGCCAGAGACUCAAACAGCUGGGUUGUUUUGCUGACCUGCCCUCAUGCUGACGGGCAGAGCGUUUGCAAUGACAAGUUUCAACAGGAAGUGUGUUCUGAUUGGUGGAAACACUGGUGUUACACACCUGACACAAUGGACAUCCCUGGGAGCCAGUGCAAUGUCGAACCAAACAGACCGAUGACGCCUUCUCUUUUAUACCAGUUAUUACUGUAUCACUUAUUGUUAAUUUGGUCAUUUCUGUGGUAUUUAUAGGUGGUUACACUUGUUUAAAAUCUAUAUUUAUUGAUACAGCUGAAUAUAUUUGGACUAGCAACCUUUAAAAAGUUUGUCAUCUUUUGUUCGAAUAUUAUCCAAGAAGCCUUGACUUGUCACAGCAGCAUGUAUUGGACUGAGUGUGCAGCUGCUGUGUACAUGUAAUAAUGAAAUGUCUCCCUCUAGUGUUUGUGGAAACAGUGCUCAAAGCUGCUCUACAUAGAUGUAUGGACGUAGGACAGUAUUGUCAGUCACAAUUACUACAUCAGCUUAUUAGAAUCUUAUACAUGUCACUUAUAAAUCCUCUCCCUCUCUAGCCCUAUGUGGCCAGUCAUGGGUAUGAAGUGUUUUACUGUCAAUUCAGACAUAAAUAAGAGCAAUAUUUAUCAGAAAAUCUAUCAACUGAAGACACGUCCACAGAAGAUUAAGCAUAUGAUAUAUCAAACUGUCAAAAAUCUAAAUUGUUCUUUGAAAUCUGUCUCUUUCUUUAUUGUUUUGGAGGGUUGGAUCACAACAGAUAACAUCAGUUUAUUUCAAAUCACACCAGGACGUGUGUCGUGGGCUGCAGAAGGGACGUCAGCACGAGCAGAUUAAUACUACUUUAAUCAAUAUGCUCAAGCAGCACUCAUUCGGCAUUGGUGCCUACUAGAGUAUCAGUUGCAAUUAUUCUCUUCUUAUUUUACUGUGAUUGCAAGUUUCUCAGAGAUAUAAAAGCAUUUCUGGGCUUUGUGUUGUUAAACAGCACACGUGUGUCCACCUUGGUGACAGAGGACUCCCAGAAGCCCACACCACACGGGUCGUCCUUGGUCUGUUUUUGGAAACACUGCAGUAAGGAAGGGAUUAUGGUUAAGGAAUGUUCCUUUGUUGUUGUUUUUUUCAUGUACUACACAAAGAAAAUCUCUAUGAAAACGAGCAAAGUAACAUUUCUACUGUGUUAGUAUUUUUAUUUCAUUUAAAUAUUUAUUUUGUAAUAAAAUUGUUAUGGUUGU
Epinephelus fuscoguttatus (brown-marbled grouper) is the source of this 2431-nucleotide RNA transcript. It is a transcript of the gene named placental growth factor b, with no coding region annotated. The transcript has 8 exons. The record is from RefSeq and is a predicted model, not a curated record. NCBI's taxonomy places the organism in Eukaryota, Metazoa, Chordata, Actinopteri, Perciformes, Serranidae.